AUUGAACGCUGGCGGCGUGCCUAACACAUGCAAGUCGAAGGAAGUGGCGCACGGGUGAGUAAUAUAUAGCUAAUCUGCCCCUUGCUGUAGGACAACAGCUAGAAAUGUCUGCUAAUACUCCAUAGCAAGGCAUGAGACUAGAUCGUAUCAGCUAGUCGGUGGGGUAACGGCCUACCGAGGCUAUGACGCGUAACUGGUCUGAGAGGAUGAUCAGUCAAAUUGGAACUGAGGCACGGUUCAACAACAUACGGGAAGGAGCAGUAGGGAAUAUUAGGCAAGGGGGGCAAACCUGACGGAGCAACGGCGCGUGGAGGAUGACACUUUUCGGAGAGUAAACUCCGUUUGUUAGGGGAGCGGUACCUAACGAAUAAGCACCGGCUAACUCCGUGCCAGCAGCCGCGGUAAUAC
Molecule: ribosomal RNA, 408 nt
Filed under: uncultured bacterium
Lineage: Bacteria
Description: partial 16S ribosomal RNA
Rfam family: Bacterial small subunit ribosomal RNA
Source: RNAcentral